RNAcentral lists this ribosomal RNA (477 nucleotides) under Sciomesa sp. SCKEG5406. RNAcentral describes it as "partial 16S large subunit ribosomal RNA". Lineage: Eukaryota; Metazoa; Arthropoda; Insecta; Lepidoptera; Noctuidae. The record is from RNAcentral.
UGUCUUUUUGAAAAUAAUAUAAAGUCUGAUCUGCCCACUGAUUUGAUAAUUGAAGGGCUGCAGUAUAUUGACUGUACAAAGGUAGCAUAAUCAUUAGUCAUUUAAUUGAUGACUUGUAUGAAGGAUUGGAUGAAAUAUAAACUGUCUCUUAAUUAAAUAUAGAAUUUAAUUUUUUAAUUAAAAAGUUAAAAUAGAUUAAAAAGACGAGAAGACCCUAUAGAGUUUUAUAAAUAAAUUAAUUAAGAUUAUUUAUUAAGUUAAAAUUAAAAUUGAAAUAUUUAUUAUAUUGGGGUGAUAGAAAAAUAUAGUUAACUUUUUUUAUAUGGGUAACAUAUAUAAGUGAUUAAAUGAUCCAAUAUUAUUGAUUGUAAGAAAAAAUUACCUUAGGGAUAACAGCGUAAUUUUUUUUUUUAGUUCAUAUAAGAAAAAGAGUUUGCGACCUCGAUGUUGGAUUAAGAUAAAAUUUAAAUGCAGAAG